RNAcentral lists this non-coding RNA (29 nucleotides) under Rattus norvegicus (Norway rat). Lineage: Eukaryota; Metazoa; Chordata; Mammalia; Rodentia; Muridae. The record is from RNAcentral.
UCAGAUAAACGUUUUUAUGUAGUGUGCAA